RNAcentral lists this ribosomal RNA (505 nucleotides) under uncultured bacterium. Its description in RNAcentral is "partial 16S ribosomal RNA". It matches the Rfam family "Bacterial small subunit ribosomal RNA", at positions 28 to 507 of the family's 1533-position model. The record is from RNAcentral.
GACGAACGCUGGCGGCGUGCCUAAUACAUGCAAGUAGAACGCACAGUUUAUACCGUAGCUUGCUACACCAUAGACUGUGAGUUGCGAACGGGUGAGUAACGCGUAGGUAACCUGCCUGGUAGCGGGGGGUAACUAUUGGAAACGAUAGCUAAUACCGCAUAAUAUUGAUUAUUGCAUGAUAAUUGAUUGAAAGAUGCUAUUGCAUCACUACGAGAUGGACCUGCGUUGUAUUAGCUAGUAGGUGAGGUAACGGCUCACCUAGGCGACGAUACAUAGCCGACCUGAGAGGGUGAUCGGCCACACUGGGACUGAGACACGGCCCAGACUCCUACGGGAGGCAGCAGUAGGGAAUCUUCGGCAAUGGACGAAAGUCUGACCGAGCAACGCCGCGUGAGUGAAGAAGGUUUUCGGAUCGUAAAGCUCUGUUGUAAGAGAAGAACGGGUGUGAGAGUGGAAAGUUCACACUGUGACGGUAUCUUACCAGAAAGGGACGGCUAACUACGUG